RNAcentral lists this ribosomal RNA (450 nucleotides) under uncultured bacterium. RNAcentral's name for it is "partial 16S ribosomal RNA". It matches the Rfam family "Bacterial small subunit ribosomal RNA", at positions 354 to 796 of the family's 1533-position model. The record is from RNAcentral.
GUGGGGAAUUUUGGACAAUGGGCGCAAGCCUGAUCCAGCAAUGCCGCGUGCAGGAAGAAGGCCUUCGGGUUGUAAACUGCUUUUGUACGGAACGAAACGGCUCUGGUUAAUACCCUGGGCUAAUGACGGUACCGUAAGAAUAAGCACCGGCUAACUACGUGCCAGCAGCCGCGGUAAUACGUAGGGUGCAAGCGUUAAUCGGAAUUACUGGGCGUAAAGCGUGCGCAGGCGGUUUUGUAAGACAGGCGUGAAAUCCCCGGGCUCAACCUGGGAAUUGCGCUUGUGACUGCAAGGCUGGAGUGCGGCAGAGGGGGAUGGAAUUCCGCGUGUAGCAGUGAAAUGCGUAGAUAUGCGGAGGAACACCGAUGGCGAAGGCAAUCCCCUGGGCCUGCACUGACGCUCAUGCACGAAAGCGUGGGGAGCAAACAGGAUUAGAAACCCGAGUAGUCC